CACAAUCUAUUUCAACUGGCCUAUCCUUUAUCCAGGAAAUUCCUUUUCCUUUUUCAUUAUAAAACAGUGACGUUCUCCAUGACAAAGCCUAUUACACAAUUUAAUAUUUUCUUUUUUUUUUUUCUUUCUCGUUCUCCAUCUUUCCCUUCUCAAAUUCCCAAAGAAGAAAGGGCUUUCAGAAGUGGGAAUAUUAGCAAGAUUCCUAAGAGCCUUAGGUCAUUUAUAGUACCCUGCACGUACUCUCUUCUUUUGUACAGUACAUCUUGAAGGUCACAUGCAUUUCUUUUUUACUUUUUUCUUUAGGCUGCUAUUUUCCAUUUUCUCCAGCAGCUGUUUCUACUUCCAGCUGAGAAAAAAUUAUUUUGGAAAUACUUCAACCAUCAAAGAAGCUGCAAGUCUACACAGGUAGCUCUGUAAGAUGCUUACCAUCCUGCAGCAGUGCCCUGACACCAGCUGCAGUUACGUGGCUCACUCUGGAUGUCUGCAGUGCAGGCCCUGUCGCUGUCCCUGUGAGGAGCUGCAGCCGCCACGAGGGAACUAUGGACAACCAUGACGUAGGCAAGAGAAAAGGAGAAACAGAGGCACCCAAACCAGAUGGAUUCAGAAGUCAAGUGGUAUGUCAGCAGUCAACAUGAAGUCAGAAUUUGGCUUUCCUGAAAUUAAUCAGAAGACCAGACUUUGGGCCACACAAGUCUGCUCCUACCUCUUUUCUACCAAUUUCCUACUUUGCCUUAUUUUGCCCACCUCCCCCGUGAAACAGCAACAAAAACUUAAGCCCAUUCUUUCCAUUUUCCUAACUUUUCUCCAGAUGCUAGUUAGGUACAUGCACCCACUUUGUGUUUCCAGGCUGGAACACGUUUCUUGUGAAGCCAUCCAGCUCUCCCUCAGAGCUGAGCCUAUCCUGGCCACCUGCUGCUGUGUUGUCUGUUAAUCACACUCUUUCCCACUGUGAGUCCCAGCAGGAUCACUGUUGGCACAGAUUUUCACAUAUCCCAUAUUAGAUAAUUUCAUGGAAGGGCUCCACACAACCAAGAUUGCCUUUCUGUCAAGCUGCCUUUUUUUAUGAGGUGCUGCAUCUCAUCACCCAUCACGUUGAUAUGACACCGUCAGACACAGCCUGCUCCCUGCCUCCAUGAAGAGAAGUCUGAUUGCUUGAGUCAAACUGAGAAAUUCACCUUAGCACUGGAAAAACAUUCACUGGAAGUCCCUGGCAGUACCUAAAAAGGAGCUCAUCUCCCCUCUCCUAAUGUAUAUGUCUCUCAUUGUCACAACGGACCUUGUUGCUACAGCAAUGCACACGGAUAUGAAUUUCCUCAGAAUUAUGGUGGCAGAAUGUGAUUAAAAAAAAUAAAAAAUGGAUCUUUGAUAUUAAAGCAACCUAAAGAGCAGGGUUCUACUCCUAGAUUUACCCACCACCUCUAAUCUACACAGACACUGUUGUAGAGACAUUCAUGGAAAAAAUCAAAACAUAGGGUAGAGCUACUCUGGAGAAUUUCCUAUCCCAGAAAGGGAGCUGAAGCACUUGAGAUAUUAAUGAC
Molecule: long non-coding RNA, 1538 nt
Filed under: Gallus gallus (chicken)
Lineage: Eukaryota; Metazoa; Chordata; Aves; Galliformes; Phasianidae
Description: lncRNA (ENSGALG00010007498.1)
Source: RNAcentral